Rhizoclosmatium globosum is the source of this 71-nucleotide transfer RNA. It matches the Rfam family "tRNA". From Rfam's summary of the family: Transfer RNA (tRNA) molecules are approximately 80 nucleotides in length. Their secondary structure includes four short double-helical elements and three loops (D, anti-codon, and T loops). Lineage: Eukaryota; Fungi; Chytridiomycota; Chytridiomycetes; Chytridiales; Chytriomycetaceae. The record is from Rfam.
AGGGGUGUAGUUCAAUGGUAGAACAACGGUCUCCAAAACCGUUAAUGUGGGUUCGAUUCCUCCCACCCUUA